Molecule: long non-coding RNA, 2713 nt
Filed under: Manihot esculenta (cassava)
Lineage: Eukaryota; Viridiplantae; Streptophyta; Magnoliopsida; Malpighiales; Euphorbiaceae
Description: long non-coding RNA (MESC_LNC004343)
Source: RNAcentral
UCGUGCCUCUCUCCCAUUGCAGGUUCUUCAAUGGCGAGGACUCAGCCCGAUGCUGCCGCUUAGCCCGAAGCCCACUCCUUAUCGCGCUGUCGCCGGACCUCGUCGAUGACACCAACAGCCUCGGCGACUGAUUCGUGCAUGGAUGGCAGAUCCAAAGCCGCAUCCCCAACGCCAGACGCACCACCCUCACUGCCCAUAAAGCAACCUAAGACCACAACAUUGGUCUUGGAGGCUUCAGAGGACAGCAGCGAGAAUACAACCUCGACUGCUAGUGAUAAAAGACCAACGGGUCAGGAGGCAGAAGCCACCAGUGAGGAGACUCAGGUUGAUUCUCCUCCAAAGAAAAACUAGAAAAAGUGAAUGCCCAGGAUAGCUGAUAGAAAGGCCAGAUAUCUACCCGCGAAGCAUGACCUGCACGACAACUUUAACUUUGAAGGCGACGAUGAGGUCAGGUAUAAAAUCUUUCUCCAUUCUAAUAUAUUUAUUUGUAAGAAAACAAAUGAUGAUGCCUUGAUCCAAUUGCAAUUAUAUGAUGAGAUUUAUGCUUUAAUUAACAAUAUUGGGUGGAGAAAAUUUUGACAUAAACUGUUCUUCCUAUGUUGAACUUUGCCAUGAGUUUUAUACCGCCUAUGAAUUUUCUUUUGAUGUGCAGAAUUUUAAUUUGAAUAUGCUUAUAAUUCAGUUUAGGUUGCAGAAUAAAAUGGUUAAUUGUUCAGUCACAGCUUUUAAUUUGCAUUUAGGUGUUUAUAAUGACGAAUAUGUUAAACUGCUGAGUAUUUGGACUUAUUGUGUGAUUAUCUAGUUGGUUGGGAUCCAAUUUUGGCAUAUAAGGAAUUAACAGGGAAACCUGAGGUUAAAUUAGGGGUGGGAAAUCUAAGGCUAAUAAUAUUUAGAGCCCUACCCUUAGAUACAUUCACAGGUUCCUUUGUUAUAUAUUUUAUGGAAAAAAUAAGGAUCCCACCAUGCUGACAAAAUAUGAACUCUUCUUCUUGUGAAGCAUAUUAAAUAAAAGAAAGGUUAACUUUGGUUUUUGGUUAGCUUCCCAGUUUAAAAGUAUAUCUGAUGUUGAGCGUGGUAUAUAUCUUGGUUCUAUGAUUUUAAUACUAGCUAUAGGAUUGGGUGUGCUUGACACUGAAAACAUUGAUUUUGCACAUAGCUGAGUAUAUUCUUCCAUUUGAUGUACCUGCACUUAAUUCUAUGGGCUUACUUUGCCUCCUAUCAUUCAACUAUGAUCACGCUUAUUUCGGACAGAGGACAAGUCAGCCCCAGCUUCCUUAGCAGCACCUCUAGAACCUAGUGAUCAAGCCGCCUAGCUAGAAUUGAAGUGAAAAUGCACCACAUUGAUGCAAAAUUGGACGCCAUUUUCUCUCAUUUGGGGUUACCCAUACCCCAACCACCACCAGCCUGAGUUUUUAAUGACUUACUCUUCAGGGAAGUUCUCUUUGACUCACUUUUGCUAAUUUAUUUGUAAACUUCCCCCGUUGCUUGAAUUUUUCCACAUUGAGUACAAUGUGAGGANNNNNNNNNNGGGGGAGAAGUAAUUGGGAUAGAAGUGAUUUUUUUGAUUGGUUGAUGGGUUGAUGUACAUAUUUUUCUGUGUUUAGAAAAUUUUUCUUCUAUUAUGCUGUUUUUGCACAAUUUUUCUAUUGAUUGCUAGAGGUUUGCCCAAGCCUGUAAGACUUUUUCUGAUUCUCGGCAGUUUCUCAACACUUGCACUUGCUGAAUUGUUCUCGGAUUUUAAUUUUUCUGGGUGUUUCCAGUAUUAUUUUCAGUUUUAAAUUUUAUAUAAAAAAAUAUCAUAGAAUUCAAGUCCUUAUGACAUUUGUAUGCUAGCUUAAAUAAAAUAAAUUCAUCAUUGUUUAUUUUAUUAGUUUUAUUUUUUAAGGUUUGUUUUGGAAACUCAUGAAGCAUGAUCCUUAUUUAAAUAGUUGGGUAAUGAAUGCAUAUUCUUUUAAAUGAGUUGUUGCCCUUUGUUGAGAAUGAUUUAAAGGGCAUUAUCUAGACCAUGUGUUUAUGUGAAAAUUAAGGGGUGUCAUCAAAGAAAGAAAGAAAAAAAAAAAGAAUAAUAGCAAAAGCAAAAAUCAGAAAUUAAUGCCAUAUGACCCACUCCUCUAGUUGCUUGAUUAAUUGGUUACCAACUUGAUGGCCUAAGUAGUGCGGUAUUUGGUGACUCCUUAAGGUGAUUCUGUAUAGAACAAUCGGUGUUUGAGAGAGUAUCACCCCUUCGUAGACCAUUUAAAUACUCGCUCCAUGUCCUUUAAUUUGGUGACUAUGAGUGGAGCUAGUAACCACCUAAGCUGAAUAACCUGAGGCAAGUGGCUCAGUAACCAUUUGUUUCAUGUUUACUUUAUCGGUUAGUAGGAAGUGUAAAAAAAUAAUCUCCCAAGUCUUUGAAUUUUAUUGGUCUAACCAAGAGUUUCUAAGAGUUUAUUCUUUCAAAAGGGCAGUUUAAUAUUAUAUAGCAUUCUAAUAUUUUGUGUGCUUAAAAUUGAUUGAGGGCCAACUUUAUAUAUUGAGAAACACGCUUUAAACAUGAAACUUGUUGAAGUGAACUUUGGUGAAAUUAAACUAUUUCUACUGUCAUCCUAUUGCAUGACAAUUUAGUUCUUUGUUUUGAACAAAAUAAAUUUCAGAUUGGUUGAGGAUAAGACUGUGUUUUCUUGUUAUAUUUGAAUUUCUAUGCUUGGGGACAAGCAAAGGUGCAAGUGUGGGG